CAGCCGCCGCGGUAAUACGAAGGGGGCUAGCGUUGCUCGGAAUCACUGGGCAUAAAGGGCGCGUAGGCGGCCGAUUAAGUCGGGGGUGAAAGCCUGUGGCUCAACCACAGAAUUGCCUUCGAUACUGGUUGGCUUGAGACCGGAAGAGGACAGCGGAACUGCGAGUGUAGAGGUGAAAUUCGUAGAUAUUCGCAAGAACACCAGUGGCGAAGGCGGCUGUCUGGUCCGGUUCUGACGCUGAGGCGCGAAAGCGUGGGGAGCAAACAGGAUUAGAUACCCCUGUAGUCCCUGUCUCUUAUAA
RNAcentral lists this ribosomal RNA (301 nucleotides) under uncultured bacterium. RNAcentral describes it as "partial 16S ribosomal RNA". It matches the Rfam family "Bacterial small subunit ribosomal RNA", at positions 509 to 809 of the family's 1533-position model. The record is from RNAcentral.